This 501-nucleotide ribosomal RNA is filed under the name Merlinius joctus. Its description in RNAcentral is "SSU rRNA". It matches the Rfam family "Eukaryotic small subunit ribosomal RNA", at positions 88 to 590 of the family's 1831-position model. Lineage: Eukaryota; Metazoa; Nematoda; Chromadorea; Rhabditida; Merliniidae. The record is from RNAcentral.
CGCGAAUGGCUCAUUACAACAGCUAUAAUUUACUUGAUCUUGACUUCCUACUUGGAUAACUGUGGUAAUUCUAGAGCUAAUACAUGCACCAAAGCUCCGACCUUACGGGAAGAGCGCAUUUAUUCGAACAAAACCAAGCGGCUUCGGCCGUCCGCAGUUGACUCAGAAUAACUAAGCUGAUCGCAUGGUCUUGAACCGGCGACGUGUCUUUCAAGUAUCUGCCUUAUCAACUUUCGAUGGUAGUGUACCUGACUACCAUGGUGGUGACGGGUAACGGAGGAUAAGGGUUCGACUCCGGAGAAGGGGCCUGAGAAAUGGCCACUACGUCUAAGGAUGGCAGCAGGCGCGCAAAUUACCCACUCUCAGAAUGAGGAGGUAGUGACGAGAAAUAACGAGACCGUUCUCUACGAGGCCGGUCAUCGGAAUGGGUACAAUUUAAACCCUUUAACGAGUAUCUAUGAGAGGGCAAGUCUGGUGCCAGCAGCCGCGGUAAUUCCAGCU